AUGUUUGAGGCAAAGUGCAACCAGGAUGGCAAGCAUGGACAGAAGAACUGUGAAUACGAGAACGUAGGAACAAAAAUACAACAGAUGCUUGUUUAUAACAAAGAUCGAUAGAAAGUGCUGGAGGAACUCGGCGGGUCAGGCAGCAUUUCUGAAAGAAAAGGGCAGGUGACAGACAUUCCGAUGCGGGAUUCUUCAAUCUGAAGUAGGGUCUCGGCCCGAAACGUCACCUAUUCCUUUUCUCCAGAGAUGUUGCCUGGCCCGCUGAGUUACUCCAGCACUUUGUGUCUAACUGUGAAUGUGAUCUUAUUGCUGUUGCUUCCAAAGCAAGCGAGAACUUGCACGACAGCCAGUAUCAACUGCAUGACUUCAAUGUUGCAACUUAUUUAUUUGAAGGUGCUCCGUCUGCAGACUGGUCGUAAAACCACUCCUGUUCCCACCUCUCUCUGGGCAAAUGUAUUCACAAAUCAACUUGCAGAUAAAGGUGCAGACCACAACCGGGGCACCUCGCAUUUCAUUCUAACCAUGUGAUCAGAGGAGCUAGUCCAUCCGAAUAGUUACCGCGGCAGCAUGUCGCUACGUUGUCUAGUUACCAUCUGGUGGAUUUUCCUUGCUGGAUAUUCUGCCAAUGAUUUGCAACAGCCUCAGAUGUCGAUCACGAAGCCUGUGGCCACAACCGUGAAGAUACAGUGUUUGGCAGAGGGUCUCGAUGAUAUCCAUUGGUAUCAACAACGCAGCGACCAGGCGCCCAGAAGGAUCCUGCGCUAUAGCAAAGGGAAAUCGGAGCGGGAUCAGGGAAUACCCGCCAAAUUCUCAGCCGAGGGAAGUGACUCAACUUUCUCUCUUGUGAUUGAUAACACCGACCUGUCUGAUGCCGCCACAUAUUACUGUGCCGGAUGGGUCUCACAGUGUGAUGCAAUGACAGGUGUUCGAUACAAAAACCCCUCGAGCCUCUCUGGCAGUUUGACUGCUCGCCGAGCAUUGGGAACUCCGGUUUAUUGCCAGGGGGAGCGUUCCCAGUCUAUAAGUGGGAUCGGUAUUGCAUUUACCAAUACUUUGACACUCUGCCUGUAGCGCUUGGUUUGCGCUCCAGCACCACGCAGUGAGGCGGAGAUCCGGAGUGAAAUUUAUCUCUGAGCUGGAAUAGGAAACGACAUCGCACCAAAUGGAAGCGGCAACUUCCUGGUGUGACAGAAGUGGGGCGGUGGUGAGACCAGUAGCCAGCAGCAUCUCAGUCGCCUGGCUGGACGCGAUGCCCCAACUCCUGAACAUGAGGGCGGCCUUGGCUGUCAUUUUGUUGAUCUCCUUUCUCUGUAUAUCGGCGGCUCAAAUAUUGACGCAGUCUCAAUUAUCGAUCACUAAAGGUCCAACGAAACCUGUCCACUUUUACUGUGAGGUUGGAAAUAUAGAUUUGGAAGAAGCCGUUAUACAUUGGUACCGGCAGAGGCCGGGGGAAGGGCUGCAGCGGCUUUUGUAUUUUAAGACUGCAUACGAAUAUCAGAAAGAUGUGGCGGAGGAACGAUUCACUGCUAGUAAAAUAUCUGAGAAAAAUUCGUGCACUCUGCUCCUGACGAAUAUCCGAGCGGAUGAUGCUGGUACCUAUUACUGUGCUUAUUGGCUACACAGUGGCCGAGAGCGACGGGAAGCCAGUACAUAAACCCAACUUGUGCGCAACAUGUUCAAGUGGUUCGAGACCAAAUCACAGGUGUGGCGUCUGCAGAUCUCCGCGAACAUCUGCGUAUACCGGGAGGCAUUCGGUUUUCUCCACGAUGUUAUUUGCAUUUUAUUUUAUAACUGGAAUGAAUAAAGUUGUUUUGACAAAUUAAAAA
Molecule: non-coding RNA, 1826 nt
Organism: Leucoraja erinaceus (little skate)
Lineage: Eukaryota; Metazoa; Chordata; Chondrichthyes; Rajiformes; Rajidae
Source: the annotation of a RefSeq genome assembly